Molecule: ribosomal RNA, 2875 nt
Filed under: metagenome
Description: bacterial LSU rRNA
Rfam family: Bacterial large subunit ribosomal RNA
Source: RNAcentral
GAAAGUAAGCAAGGGCAGACGGUGGAUGCCUUGGCUCUCGGAGGCGACGAAGGACGUGAUAAGCUGCGAAAAGCUCGGGGGAGGCGCAAAUAGCCGUUGAUCCCGGGAUAUCCGAAUGGGGCAACCCGGCAGGCUGAAGGCCUGCCAUCCCGUAAGGGAGGCGAACGUGGGGAACUGAAACAUCUAAGUACCCAUAGGAGGAGAAAAUAAACAAUGAUUCCGUAAGUAGUGGCGAGCGAACACGGAAGAGCCCAAACCCAUGUCGUCUAGGCGACACGGGGGUUGUAGGACCACGACGUGGCAAGAUAGAGUCAAGUGGAACGCCUUGGAAAAGGCGAUCAUAGAGGGUGAAAAUCCCGUACACGACUGACGAUUGAAGCCUAGUGGCAUCCUGAGUAGCGCGGGGCACGAGAAAUCUUGCGUGAAACUGCGGGGCCCAUCCCGUAAGGCUAAAUACUCCCGAGAGACCGAUAGCGAACCAGUACCGUGAGGGAAAGGUGAAAAGAACCCCGAGCAGGGGAGUGAAAUAGACCCUGAACCCGUCUGCCUACAAGCGGUCGGAGCAUCGUCAAGAUGUGACGGCGUGCCUUUUGCAUAAUGAACCUACGAGUUACCUUCCCCGGCAAGGUUAAGUACCUAAGGUACGGAGCCGAAGCGAAAGCGAGUCUGAACAGGGCGGCCAGUCGGGGGGGGUAGACGCGAAACCGAGUGAUCUACCCUUGGCCAGGUUGAAGGUUGGGUAACACCAACUGGAGGACCGGAUGGGUAAGCGUUGAAAAGCUUUCCAAUGAGCUGAGGGUAGGGGUGAAAGGCUAAUCAAACUCGGAGAUAGCUCGUACUCCCCGAAAUGCAUUUAGGUGCAGCCUCUUUAUAGUAUAUCGUGAGGUAGAGCGACUGAUUGGAUGCGAGGGCUUCACCGCCUAUCAAGUCCAGAUAAACUCCGAAUGCGCGAUAUAUAUUUAAAGGGAGUGAGGGCGCGGGUGCUAAGGUCCGUGUCCGAGAGGAGAAGAAUCCAGACCACCGGCUAAGGCCCCCAAAUGAUCGUUAAGUUGAACUAACGAGGUCGGAUCGCAGAGACAGCUAGGAUGUUGGCUUGGAAGCAGCCAUUCAUUUAAAGAGUGCGUAACAGCUCACUAGUCGAGCGAUCUGGCGUGGAUAAUAAUCGGGCAUAAACGAUCUGCCGAAGCCGUGGAUGUCGUAAGACAUGGUAGGGGAGCAUUCCAUGCGGCGUCGAAGAUGAGGGAUGACCCUUGUUGGAGCGCAUGGAAAAGCAAAUGUAGGUAUGAGUAACGAUAAGGGGGGCGAGAAACCCCCCCGCCGAAAGACCAAGGUUUCCUGAUCAACGCUAAUCGGAUCAGGGUGAGUCGGGACCUAAGGCAAAGCCGAACGGCGCCGCCGAUGGAAGAAUGGGUUAAUAUUCCCAUACUGCCUCAUGGAGUGACGUGGAGACGGAGAAGUGACAGUCCUGCCGGCUGACGGAAUAGCCGGUUGAAGGGUGUAGAUAUUGAUUCCCGUAGGCAAAUCCGCGGGGAGAGUCGAACCUGAGAGUAUACCGAGUACUUGUACGAGGUAAUAUGGACGUAACCAUGCUCCCAAGAAAAUCCGCUAAACUUAUCCAUGCGGCACCCGUACCGUAAACGGACACACGUGGUCGGGUUGAGAAUACUGAGGCGCUCGAGUGAUUCACGGUUAAGGAACUAGGCAAAUUGACCCUGUAACUUCGGGAUAAAGGGUCCUCGUCGUAAGGCGAGGCGCAGAGAAUAGGUCCAGGCAACUGUUUAACAAAAACACAUGGCUGUGCUAAAUGGAAACAUGAUGUAUACAGCCUGACACCUGCCCGGUGCUGGAAGGUUAAGAGGAGAUGUCAUCGCAAGAGAAGCGUUGAAUUGAAGCCCCAGUAAACGGCGGCCGUAACUAUAACGGUCCUAAGGUAGCGAAAUUCCUUGUCGGGUAAGUUCCGACCUGCACGAAUGGUGUAAUGAUCUGGACACUGUCUCAACCGUGAGCUCGGUGAAAUUGUAGUAUCGGUGAAGAUGCCGAUUACCCGCGAUGGGACGAAAAGACCCCGUGAACCUUUACUAUAGCUUUACAUUGAAUUUGGGCAGACGAUGUGUAGGAUAGGCCGGAGGCUUUGAAGGGGGUACGCCAGUAUCCUUGGAGCCGCCGUUGAAAUACGGCCCUUCGGUUGUUUGAGUUCUAACUCCUAGGCAGGAGGACACUGUAUGGUGGGUAGUUUGACUGGGGUGGUCGCCUCCAAAAGCGUAACGGAGGCUUCUAAAGGUGCCCUCAGACCGAUUGGUAACCGGUCGCAGAGUGUAAUGGCAUAAGGGCGCUUGACUGGGAGACAUACAAGUCGAUCAGGUAGGAAACUAGAGCAUAGUGAUCCGGUGGUUCCGCAUGGAAGGGCCAUCGCUCAAAGGAUAAAAGGUACUCCGGGGAUAACAGGCUGAUCAUUCCCAAGAGCUCAUAUCGACGGAAUGGUUUGGCACCUCGAUGUCGGCUCGUCACAUCCUGGGGCUGGAGAAGGUCCCAAGGGUUGGGCUGUUCGCCCAUUAAAGUGGCACGCGAGCUGGGUUCAGAACGUCGUGAGACAGUUCGGUCUCUAUCUAUCGUGGGCGCAGGAGAUUUGAGGGGCUCUGACACUAGUACGAGAGGACCGUGUUGGACGUACCACUGGUUUACCGGUUGUCCCGCCAGGGGCACCGCCGGGUAUCUAAGUACGGAUCGGAUAAGUGCUGAAAGCAUCUAAGUACGAAGCCGGCCUCAAGAUUAGAUCUCCCUCAAGGGUGGUUAUAGACGAUGACCUUGAUAGGCCACAGGUGUAAGGGCGGCGACGUCCGAGCCGAGUGGUACUAAUAGCCCGGGACUUUCCUCA